UUUUUUUUUUAACUUAGAGAAGCCCUUUCAGUAUUUCUUUUAUAAUGGGUUUAGUAUUGUUGUACUCUUAGGUUUUGUUUGUUGGAGAAAUUCUUUAUUUCCCCUUCUAUUUUAAAUAAUAUUCUUGCUGGAUAGAGUAUUCUAGGUUGCAGAUUCUUUCCUUUCAGCACUUUAAAUAUAUCUUGCCUCUCCCUUCUGGCCUGUAGUAUUUCUGUAGAGAAAUCAGCUGAUAGCCUUAUUGGGGUUCCCUUAUAAUUAAUGUUUUGCUUUUCUCUUGCUGCCUUUAGGAUCCUCUCUUUAUCUUUAACUUUUGCCAUUUUUAUUAUAAUAUGUCUUGGUAUGGGCCUGUGUGGGUUCAACUUGUUUGAGGCCCUCUGUGCUUCCUAUAUCUUGAUGUCAGUAUUCUUUAGAUUCGGAAAGUUUUCAGCCGUAAUUUCUUCAAAUAUAUUUUCAAUCCCCUUUUCUUCUUUUCCUCCUGGAAGUCCUAUUAUGUGUAGAUUGGCCUGCUUUAUAUUAUCCCAUAGGUUGCUUAUAUUGCUUUCAUGGUUUUUUAUUUGGUUUUCUGUCUGCUAUCCUGAUUGGGUGAUUUCCAUUAUUUUAUCUUCCACAUUACUAAUUCGUUCCUCUGCAUUACUCAUUCUGCUCAUCAUUGCCUUUAGCUCAGUUUGCAUCUCUGCAAAUGAAUUUUCUAUUUAUAUUUUUUAGUUCCUUUCUAAAGGAAUCUGCAUUACUGUUCAUAUCCUCUCUUAAUUCCUUCAGUGUUUUCACUAUCUCCCUUUUGAACUCAAUGUCCAUCAGACUGCAAGGUCUGUUUCAUUGUUGACUGCUUUAGGUGAAUUAUCCUGUUCCUUUAACUGGGAAUGGUUUCUGAGCUUCUUCAUCUUGCUUGUGUUUUCCUUUUUCUGUGAGUUUGGGGAAGCCAAAGUGUAGUCUUGUAAGGCUACUUCUAUGCAAGAAUACCCCUUUGUAUUUUUUGUGGGGGUUACUAUUUAUUUGGUGUGGGAGAUUUAAUAUUUGCUGUCUCAUUCUUCAGUGUAAGCAGGCUGUUAUUCCCAGGAUGCUCAGUGUGUUUUCAGGGAGAAGGAGGCAAUGGGUAGGGCCAGCAGUCAGUGCCUGGUUGUU
This 1122-nucleotide long non-coding RNA is filed under the name Sus scrofa (pig). RNAcentral describes it as "lncRNA (ENSSSCG00040002880.1)". Lineage: Eukaryota; Metazoa; Chordata; Mammalia; Artiodactyla; Suidae. The record is from RNAcentral.